CGCGGGGUGGAGCAGUUGGCAGCUCGUCGGGCUCAUAACCCGAAGGUCGUGGGUUCAAAUCCCUCCCCCGCAA
RNAcentral lists this transfer RNA (73 nucleotides) under Oxobacter pfennigii. It matches the Rfam family "tRNA". Rfam says of the family: Transfer RNA (tRNA) molecules are approximately 80 nucleotides in length. Their secondary structure includes four short double-helical elements and three loops (D, anti-codon, and T loops). Lineage: Bacteria; Bacillati; Bacillota; Clostridia; Eubacteriales; Clostridiaceae. The record is from Rfam by way of RNAcentral.